GCAGUCCAGAUCCAGUGUCGAUCGAUACUAGAGGGGUAUCAAUCGACACCGUCGUAGUGGGUCGUCUCUGAGAAAAGCGUCCCAUAUGGUGUCGAUCGACAUAGGAGGGUGUUGGUCGAUACCAUCUCUGCAACUACAAGCUCCAACUCGUCUUCAGUGUCCAAUUCCUCCCACACAUCAUCUCCUUCUCUGAUCAAGAUGGCAUUACAGCUCUUUCUUUGGUUAGCAUCAGGAUUACCAGGAAGAAAACCUUCUUGUCUCUUGAUAGAUUGUGCAGUUUGAGCUACCUGUACAUCUAGCUUCUUCAAGUGAGAGCUCAGAUUGUCGAUCUUCCCAUUAAGAUCUGUGUAGACAGCAUCAAACUUGCCAUUAAACUCCACAAGAAGCUUUGUUUGGCUCUCAAGAAUCUACUCAAGCAUUGAUUCCAUUCUUGUCUCUGCUGAGGG
This 446-nucleotide small RNA is filed under the name Arabidopsis thaliana (thale cress). Its description in RNAcentral is "ATSL034580". The record is from RNAcentral. Lineage: Eukaryota; Viridiplantae; Streptophyta; Magnoliopsida; Brassicales; Brassicaceae.